This 1138-nucleotide long non-coding RNA is filed under the name Nicotiana benthamiana. RNAcentral's name for it is "long non-coding RNA (NBEN_LNC030078)". The record is from RNAcentral. Lineage: Eukaryota; Viridiplantae; Streptophyta; Magnoliopsida; Solanales; Solanaceae.
ACAAGAGGGGUUGCUCUGAUGGUAAGCAACCCCCACUUCCAACCGAGAGGUUGUGAGUUCGAAUCUCCCCAAGAGCAAGGUGGGAAGUUCUUCGAGGAAAGGAUGCCGGGGGUCUAGAAUGCCAUGCACUUUUGACAGAGAAAAGACCAUCUUCUGAAACUUCAAUUUCCAUACGGGAAAAUCAUCAAAUUUUGGCCUCCGAUGUCCAUGCAAGUGAUCUUACCAGUAAUAUAAUCAGGAACGACCAUGGAUAGCUUAUUGAUGUCUUGCUCUCCAUUAGUAAUGAAUUCCUUUACCGAUAAUUUCUCUGGCUUACUAAGGCCUUGAAUGAUUCUAGCUAAAGCGCCUUCACCGGUCCAGUUGUCCCACCAGAAACUAGAGGUACCAGAUUGUAUUUUCCAGAUGAUAUUAGAUUCCGCCUUACUCCUGCUCUUCAUCAAGGUCUUCCAACUAUGAGAAUAUGAGGAGUUAAAAAUUUUGGACACUCGAUGAGACCUUUUCCAAUAUUCGGCUUUAAGGAAUGUUGCCUAGAGAGAGGAGUUGGUCCUAAACAUCCACCAUUUUUUUAUUUGAGGGAUUCACUUAUGUCGUGCGUACUUCAGAUGCCUUUACCACCUUCCUCCUUAGGAUACAAAGAUCUUUCCAAGAACUCCAAUAAUAAUUCUUGUUAGCCUCGGAAGAGCCCCAAAAGAAAUUAGAGAAAUGCAUUUUAAUGAGAUUGAUAGCGCCUUUUGGAAGACAAGAGGGGUUGCUCUGAUGGUAAGCAACCCCCACUUCCGACCGAAAGGUUGUGAGUUCGAGUCUCCCCAAGAGCAAGGUGGGAAGUUCUUGGAGGGAAGGAUGCCGGGGGUCUAUUUGGAAACAGCCUCUCUACCCCAGGGUAGAGGUAAGGUCUGCGUACAUACUACCCUUCCCAGACCCUACUAUGUGGGAUUAUACUGGGUUGUUGUUGUUGAUAGCUCCUUUUGGAGGGUUAAGAGACUACAGAGUGUAAAUUGGAAGGGAUUGGAGGACAUAUUUGAUUAUAAUCAUUUUGCCCUGUAAGAAAAUACUUUACCUUGCCAACCACUAAGCCUUUAGAUAAUUCUUGAUAACAGGAUGUCAAAUAAGCUGAUUCUUUUUCUUCCUUGAAAUAUAG